Molecule: ribosomal RNA, 758 nt
Filed under: Bacillus mojavensis
Lineage: Bacteria; Bacillati; Bacillota; Bacilli; Caryophanales; Bacillaceae
Description: bacterial SSU rRNA
Rfam family: Bacterial small subunit ribosomal RNA
Source: RNAcentral
GGUCAGUAGUACAUGCAAGUCGAGCGGACAGAUGGGAGCUUGCUCCCGAUGUUAGCGGCGGACGGGUGAGUAACACGUGGGUAACCUGCCUGUAAGACUGGGAUAACUCCGGGAAACCGGGGCUAAUACCGGAUGCUUGUUUGAACCGCAUGGUUCAAACAUAAAAGGUGGCUUCGGCUACCACUUACAGAUGGACCCGCGGCGCAUUAGCUAGUGGUGAGGUAAUGGCUCACCAAGGCGACGAUGCGUAGCCGACCUGAGAGGGUGACGGCCACUGGGACUGAGACACGGCCCAGACUCCUACGGGAGGCAGCAGUAGGAAUCUUCCGCAAUGGACGAAAGUCUGACGGAGCAACGCCGCGUGAGUGAUGAAGGUUUCGGACGUAAAGCUCUGUUGUUAGGGAAGAACAAGUACCGUUCGAAUAGGGCGCCUUGACGGUACCUAACCAGAAAGCCACGGCUAACUACGUGCCAGCAGCCGCGGUAUACGUAGGUGGCAAGCGUUGUCCGGAAUUAUUGGGCGUAAAGGGCUCGCAGGCGUUUCUUAAGUCUGAUGUGAAAGCCCCCGGCUCAACCGGGGAGGGUCAUUGGAAACGGGGAACUUGAGUGCAGAAGAGGAGAGUGGAAUUCCACGUGUAGCGGUGAAAUGGUAGAGAUGUGGAGGAACACCAGUGGCGAAGGCGACUCUCUGGUCUGUAACUGAGGAGGAGCGAAAGCGUGGGGAGCGAACAGGAUUAGAUACCCUGGUAGUCCAGCCG